Danio rerio (zebrafish) is the source of this 1650-nucleotide non-coding RNA. NCBI's taxonomy places the organism in Eukaryota, Metazoa, Chordata, Actinopteri, Cypriniformes, Danionidae. The record is from RefSeq and is a predicted model, not a curated record.
AAUUUUACAUGCUGUAUAUUGCGCAAAUGCAAUUGUAUUUUUUGAAGUUAUGAGAUAUUACACUUCACUUGUAUUAGGCGUUCGUUUGUUUAAAAUGCCAUUUCUUAAAAUUAAAGUUUGAAACUGUCGCUGGCGUCACCGUGGCCCGGGACACACUAAGCCGACAGCAGGUGGUGCAACGUCGGCCACUCGGUCAGGCGAGUUGGUAUUUUGUGUUCACGCAUCGGUUAGAUGUGCCAAGUGCCAUCGGUUUGGUGUGUCCGGGGCUUUAGCUGUCUGCACAACUGCCGGUAAGCGGGGUUAGGUUGGUUUUGUUUUCCGAUACUCCUGACACAUUCAGACGGUCCCUUACCGAGCAUGAGGCGCCACGCAGCGCGAGCUCUCCCGGCAACUGUUAAACGCAGAUUCCGAGGGCUUGAACGAAGCAGUGCUCGUAAUUUCGAGCGAAAAAAAAGAAAAAGACAGCUGUGAAUUAUAACCAGCUUUGUAUUUUUGUAGGAAACACAGUUUAGAUAUUUUAGGGUAAGAGGUUUUUGAGUUAUUGCCGUCCAUCACUGAACCUGUCAGGAAUAUCGAAAACAAAACCAACUUAACCCCUCUCUGCCGGUAUGUGGUCGUGGUGUGCUUUUUACAAGAUUAGUCAGCAUGCAAGACUGUGUCUGACCGCUGGUUUUAAGGUUAGAAACUAGUCAACUCCAGCAUUUACUAAUAAGUAAUAUUGAAUGGGAAGAGGAUUAAAAAUGAAAACAUAGUGUAUCCCACGAGUAUGUGGGAAAACACCCACUGCUGCACCUAUGUUUUUAACGAAUUGUGGGAUCACGCAAAACAUCUUAGAACUGAUUUUAUAUUAUAUUUUGUAUUUUAGAACAUCAGUGCUUAAUAAAUGUUUUCAUAAUCUGGUCAUAUGUUUUAUGAGGCAUAUUACAUAUAUGAUGCUUAUUAAAUGAAGCAUAGAUAUUAAUAUAUGUAAUUUUAAUGCCUUUAUUUUUGUAAAUUAAGUACACAGUCUGUUAUUUCUGCAUAACUGACCCUUGUCAAACAGCCUUGAUCAGAGAAGCAGAGAUAAACUACCGUAUUUCCCCAAUUAAUCGCCAUUCUGAAAAUAGUUCUUUUAAAUGCCUGGGGUUAUAAUUCAUUUUUGCGUUUUAAACACCCACCCGAAUAACCCCCAGUGGUGAUUAUAUACAUUAAAUUGUGUAAACACAAAAUCAACUGUUUAAAAUUUAAGCGAGGUACAUGUCUGAUAAUUUCUUUUGUGUAAUUUUCAUUUUUAUUUCUGUUGCAGGCAGAGUCUGUAUAUGUGGACACUCACUAUUUGCCCUCGCUACAGUUUCUCUUGUCUGUCCCCCACAAGCAGAGACCCACUGAUAGACCGCUGUUACCAGUUCUAGGGCUGACACAUCCGCACACGUCCACAUCACAAGUGUAUCCUGUAAAGAUCAAGGAGGAGCAUCACAACAGUUUCGUUGAAGUAGACAUUCUAGUGGAAGCUUGAUGAGUACACACCAGGUUUUGCAGCUAAUGCAUGCCAAAGGAGGAGCAGCUAGUUGCAAGAUGCAUCCUCUGCUGGACAGUUUAAAUACACAGAACAUUGAGGAAAAAAGAGAUGCUGUUGUCUGCUGCCUCAGUAACUACCUUGGGAAAGACAAG